GGAAAAUAUUGAUGAAAUUAUUUUACAACUACAGAAAUUAACUGGCCAGCAAGGUGAAGAGCCCAGCUUGGUGUCCCCAAGUACUUCUUGCGGCUCAUUGACUGAAAGACUACUGAGACAAAAUGCUGAGCUGACAGGGCAUAUCAGUCAACUGACUGAAGAGAAGAAUGACUUAAGGAACAUGGUUAUGAAGCUGGAAGAGCAGAUCAGGUGGUAUCGACAGACAGGAACUGGUAGAGAUAAUUCUUCCAGGUUUUCAUUGAAUGGUGGUGCCAACAUUGAAGCCAUCAUUGCCUCUGAAAAAGAAGUAUGGAACAGAGAAAAAUUGACUCUCCAGAAAUCUUUGAAAAGGGCAGAGGCUGAAGUAUACAAACUGAAAGCUGAACUAAGAAAUGACUCUUUACUUCAAACUCUGAGCCCUGAUUCUGAACAUGUCACUUUAAAGGAAUGUGAAGAUGCCACCUUGGCCCUGCUUGCCCGGAUGGGGGGGCAGCCGGCUUUCACGGAUCUAGAGGUGAUCACCAAUCGCCCAAAGGGCUUCACCAGGUUUCGGUCGGCCGUCAGAGUAUCCAUUGCAAUUUCCAGAAUGAAAUUUUUGGUUCGACGGUGGCAUCGAGUCACAGGUUCUGGUUCCAUCAAUAUUAACAGAGAUGGCUUUGGACUGAAUCAAGGUGCAGAAAAGACUGACUCAUUUUAUCAUUCUUCUGGUGGGCUGGAGUUAUAUGGAGAACCAAGACAUACUACGUAUCGCUCAAGAUCAGAUCUGGACUAUAUUAGGUCCCCUUUACCAUUUCAGAAUAGGUAAGAAUUUGAGAAAACCUGCCUGGAAUUGUUAAAUGUAUUAAUAUUUAACAGAGAAAAAUGGACAUUUUUAGGGCUUUGACUUCUUUG
RNAcentral lists this small RNA (891 nucleotides) under Pongo abelii (Sumatran orangutan). Its description in RNAcentral is "retained intron". The record is from RNAcentral. Lineage: Eukaryota; Metazoa; Chordata; Mammalia; Primates; Hominidae.